AUGUCUUGCCUAAUUUCAGGACGGUGGAGGCGGAAGGGAGAGGCCAGCCGGGCAUGCCCGUGGGUCCAGGCGGGGGCAAGGGCCUCUGGCUGGCCGCCCCACCCCCCACCCCGUAGUUUCCGGCGUAAAAGAGCGAUGAGGUUUAUUUCCCUUCUGACAACGCGUCGAUUCGACUUGCCUACUCCGCUGGGCACCCCGGUGCAGAUGAAAGAGGGCGAUGCAUCAAACAUUAACGAUCUCUGCCCGGGAGGGGGUGUGCGGGCUGCAGGCGCCCUGCCCGGGGAUCUGCCAGCCUCGCAGCCUCGCUGGCUGAGGACCAGACCGCGCAGGCGCAGACGCGGCCUGGAAAGCAGAGCGGGGUGGGGGGGGCAGAGGCCCCUCCGUGCACACUCACCCCCACCCACACAUGAAAGCCGGCCCCGGGAGUGCCAGAAACUGACCACAGAUCAAUAUGCCUCCCUGAUCAGCUGCCUCGUGCCAGUGAGGCCACCGAGAUCCUGGGCUCAUCUGUGACAGCAGUUCGCAUUGCCUUGACUAAUCAAGCUUCGGAGGUGAAGACCAAAGGCCCCCUGCCCUCGGGAGUUUGCAGGACACGGGGAGAUGGCAAACGUAGAGGCUGUAACCCAAGGUGUGUGAGCCCCUUCAGAGCACAGGGAAGGACGCGGGGGAGCCAGGGACCAAUUCAGGGGGCCCGAGGCCAGGGAGAGGACAUCUCAGAGCUGCUAAGGGAGAGGACAGGCCGUUCGGGGAGGGACACCCGUUGGAGCAAAGGCAUGAGCGCUGAAGUCCAGGCGAUGGGGCUGGGGGGGCCAGGCUGUGCAAGCCCAGAGAGAGUGGGCUUGUUUUGUAGGUGAUGGGAGCCACAGAAGGUGAGCGAGAGAGCAUGAUGGGUACACGGUGCCUCGGGCAGGCCCCUGGAGUUGCCAUGGAGAGGCCGCCUGGAGCAGAUGUUAGAUGUGGGAGACCAGGAACAAGGUGGGGAUGGAGGGAGAAGUUCAAGAGGAUGGACUCCCAGGACCCGAGACAGAAGAGGGGCAGUGUGGUGGUGGGAGCGGUGUGGAAGGCCUCCCUCCCCUCUUGCAGGCUAUGCCCUGGAUGUGGGGGGAGGCCCCUUUCGUGGAGAUGGGGCGCCCCGGGAAGAAGCGGAGUGAGACAAUCCUGGUGCCUUGACCCCACGGUGGACAGUAGCCCUUCCCAUGGCCUGU
Molecule: long non-coding RNA, 1205 nt
Filed under: Sus scrofa (pig)
Lineage: Eukaryota; Metazoa; Chordata; Mammalia; Artiodactyla; Suidae
Description: lncRNA (ENSSSCG00070000156.1)
Source: RNAcentral